Long non-coding RNA from Vespula pensylvanica (western yellowjacket), 1135 nucleotides. RefSeq lists it as uncharacterized. The record is from RefSeq and is a predicted model, not a curated record. Lineage: Eukaryota; Metazoa; Arthropoda; Insecta; Hymenoptera; Vespidae. The transcript is spliced from 4 exons.
AGCCUAAAAAAGAUAAGGAAAAAACGUCAGAGAAAAUUGAAAGAAGAAUCCGAUUUAUAUGUGUAUUGAUAAUAAAGAAGGAAACUUCCCUAUUUGUUUGAUUGUGGCUAAUGAUAAAAAAAAAGAAAAAAAAAAAACUAAGAAAAAAUAAUAAUUACAACGUUGUAAUUCAGUCGAAUGAGUUGGAAGAAAAAAUUGUCUAAGUUUAUGAAUAUUUCAAGAAAAUAAAUGACGUCUUUUUUAUAAUUUAUAUAAAAUAUCAGAUCCAAUUGCAUUUGAUAUAUAGAUCUGCAUAUAACAUAUAUUCUUGUCCUAUGUUUGAUCCAAUUACUCAUACAUAUGAAAAAUAUUCUUGUUCCAUGUAUGAUAUCGAUAUUACGAUGAUAUAACGAGCAAGAACAUAACGAAUGCAUACUUUCACUUUUAACAACACAUAAUAGCGAUGGACUUUCCAAGAAAAUAAUGAGAAAUAUGUAUUGAAAGGAGAUAAUGAUUCUAUUGGUGACUAAAAUAUCUAUACAUAGCGACAAAUGUGGAAUUUACACAAUUGUUAUACUGGACAUUGGAUAAUUAAGUAUAUAUAUAUAUAUAUACAUAUCGAACAGAGUAUGGUCGACAUCGUGCAAAGAAUUCACAAGUAAUCGAAGGUACAAACGUCCUCGACAUUAGUAAUAAUUCGGCCUUCGACGUCAUCCGACGGGCCUGAAUAGAAAUUGAAUGUAAUUCUUGAAAGGAAACAAGAUACGUUAUACGUUCAAUAUCAUCCUCUUAACCAACCUUUAAGUCAAAUAAAUGUAUCUGUGCGUAUAACAGGUACGUUGCCUAUAUAUACAUAUGUGUCAUACACAUAUGCAUGUUAUCGAAUUGAUACGAAAUGAGGAUUGAUAUCCGCAAUAACGUUAAAAUAAAAAAGAGAAUAACGUGUCGAUGACGAAAAGAAUGAAAUUCCAGCAUAACCGGACCUAAUUUUCGCGACGUGAAGGAUUACGCAAGUCUUUUCGAGUUACGAACGCAAAGCUUUGUAAAUCAUAAAUAUCUUAUAAGUAGUAUUACGAGGAAAGAGUUCUAAUUGAAAUGACAACAGCAUCUUUAAUCAUCAUUUUUUUUUGUUCGUUUUUUUUUAUUUUUUUAUUUU